GGUGGCGUCAAGCUGCAAGCCCAGAGGAUUCAGCUGGCUAGGAUGUUGUGUAUGCGCCUGGCGCAUCUAUCAGCCGGAGUAAGAUGUGAUAGUCCACUGGUAAACGGUGGGCCCGGCCGCAAGGUUGGGAUAUGUGUACCGGGCGGAAGCCGGAGCAUGCUAUUCGUCUGUUGGGCUGUCUAGUCAGUGCACUUUCUCUGUGGUGAACACCACGACCGGUGGAAUUGCCAGUCUGCUGUAGUCAAGUCGUAUUCAGUCGGUUCUUGUAGUCAACUGGGUGCGAUCACAGGCAAACUCAGUAAACGGCGUAGGGGUGUCUCGGCAUCCUUACGUGUUAUCGGCUGCUGGUUGUCAACGGGCCUGCUUGAUGAUUGUUGUAACCGUCAUUAGGUGGUCUGGUGGGCUAUGGUGGUAAGAAUAACUGUGCAAGGCAUCGGAGUUCUCGGCCUCAAAUGCAUCCUGCAUACACGUUACAAGUGGAGUGGGGUGCCAUUGCAGCCUGCCUGUUGUUGGGUCUGAUUGUCGUGUCGCCU
Molecule: ribosomal RNA, 533 nt
Filed under: Phyllobothriid sp. 1 PDO-2006
Lineage: Eukaryota; Metazoa; Platyhelminthes; Cestoda; Phyllobothriidea; Phyllobothriidae
Description: partial 28S ribosomal RNA
Source: RNAcentral